RNAcentral lists this ribosomal RNA (254 nucleotides) under uncultured bacterium. RNAcentral describes it as "partial 16S ribosomal RNA". It matches the Rfam family "Bacterial small subunit ribosomal RNA", at positions 524 to 776 of the family's 1533-position model. The record is from RNAcentral.
UACGCAGGCAGCGAGCGUUGUUCGGAGUUACUGGGCGUAAAGGGUGUGUAGGCGGUUGUUUAAGUUUGGUGUGAAAUCUCCCGGCUCAACUGGGAGGGUGCGCCGAAUACUGAAUGACUUCGAGUGCGGGAGAGGAAAGUGGAAUUCCUGGUGUAGCGGUGAAAUGCGUAGAUAUCAGGAGGAACACCGGUGGUGUAGACGGCUUUCUGGACCGUAACUGACGCUGAGACACGAAAGCGUGGGCAGCAAACAGG